CAUGUUAGUAUAAAAGAGUAUGUUAAGUUUAGGUCUUAUUGGUGUUAGUGACUGA
Molecule: transfer RNA, 55 nt
Filed under: Enterobius vermicularis (human pinworm)
Lineage: Eukaryota; Metazoa; Nematoda; Chromadorea; Rhabditida; Oxyuridae
Description: tRNA-Leu1
Source: RNAcentral